This is a long non-coding RNA of Homo sapiens (human), 574 nucleotides long. Ensembl annotates it as small nucleolar RNA host gene 26. Its record names the gene SNHG26. Lineage: Eukaryota; Metazoa; Chordata; Mammalia; Primates; Hominidae. The record is from Ensembl.
GAAGCAGUGUGAGCUAGCGUCUAAGGAUUGUGAAAACUGAGCAAGUGCCCAGAACUAGAAACUUCCCAGCCCCCUGAACUCAGCCUCAGGGUAAGCGAGUUUAAUAGUGCUUCCUUUGAUUUUCAAAUCUGUGGAAGGUUUGUUUCAGUUUUUCCCAGACAAAUAUUGUUGGGAUAGUGUUUCUUUUCAAAAAUGGAUAGGAUUCAAUGCUCAUCAGUGGGAAGAUAGUGACUCCUGACCAUUUUCCUCCUAGCUGGAAACUACAGAAGACUCCCAAGUAUCAGGAAAUUUGGAGAAUUUGUACAGGAAUUAUAUUCAGAGAUAGCAAUUUAUUUACUCAUCAAAGAGAGCUAUUGGAUAGCCACCAUAAAGACCACUCAUUAAAAAACAAAAUUGCAUGAUAUUCUUAACAUUGUCUUUCACUUUUUUUAACCAGGCUUGGUGGAGUUUCAAGAUGCUGAUGAACUUAAGGUCUGGCGCUUGAAAGAAUCAGUGAAGCUUUUCAAGUAGAGGAGGUAUAUUUGAAUAUGUAACCUUUAGUAUCUACAGAAUAGAGGUUGCUUUUUUUUUUUUU